This 337-nucleotide ribosomal RNA is filed under the name Hypsibius pallidus. RNAcentral's name for it is "SSU rRNA". It matches the Rfam family "Eukaryotic small subunit ribosomal RNA", at positions 70 to 408 of the family's 1831-position model. The record is from RNAcentral. Lineage: Eukaryota; Metazoa; Tardigrada; Eutardigrada; Parachela; Hypsibiidae.
GCUUUUACAAGGGGAAACCGCGAAUGGUCAUUAAAUCAGUUAUGGUUCACUAGAUCGUACAGUUUACWUGGAUAACUGUGGUAAUUCUAGAGNUAAUACAUGCACUCAGCUCGCUUCUUCGGGAGCGAGCGCAGUUAUUAGAAUAAAACCAAUCCGGCCUUCGGGUCGGUAAAAUUGGUGACUCUGAAUAACCGAAGCGGAGCGCAUGGUCUCGUACCGGCGCCAGAUCUUUCAAGUGUCUGACUUAUCAGCUCGUAGUUAGGUUACGUUCCUAACUAGGCUAUUACGGGUAACGGGGUGUCAGGGCCCGACACCGGAGARGGAGCCUGAGAAACGG